This 474-nucleotide ribosomal RNA is filed under the name uncultured organism. RNAcentral describes it as "partial 16S ribosomal RNA". It matches the Rfam family "Bacterial small subunit ribosomal RNA", at positions 334 to 799 of the family's 1533-position model. The record is from RNAcentral.
CACUCCUGCGGGAGGCAGCAGUGGGGAAUUUUGGACAAUGGGCGAAAGCCUGAUCCAGCAAUGCCGCGUGAGUGAAGAAGGCCUUCGGGUUGUAAAGCUCUUUUGUCAGGGAAGAAACGGUGAGAGCUAAUAUCUUUUGCUAAUGACGGUACCUGAAGAAUAAGCACCGGCUAACUACGUGCCAGCAGCCGCGGUAAUACGUAGGGUGCAAGCGUUAAUCGGAAUUACUGGGCGUAAAGCGUGCGCAGGCGGUUUUGUAAGUCUGAUGUGAAAUCCCCGGGCUCAACCUGGGAAUUGCAUUGGAGACUGCAAGGCUAGAAUCUGGCAGAGGGGGGUAGAAUUCCACGUGUAGCAGUGAAAUGCGUAGAUAUGUGGAGGAACACCGAUGGCGAAGGCAGCCCCCUGGGUCAAGAUUGACGCUCAUGCACGAAAGCGUGGGGAGCAAACAGGAUUAGAAACCCUUGUAGUCCCAUG